Molecule: ribosomal RNA, 120 nt
Filed under: Colletotrichum gloeosporioides
Lineage: Eukaryota; Fungi; Ascomycota; Sordariomycetes; Glomerellales; Glomerellaceae
Also listed under: 1 other name
Source: RNAcentral
ACAUACGACCAUACCCACUGGAAAACUCGGGAUCCCGUCCGCUCUCCCAUAGAUAAGCCAGUGAGGGCUGGAUCAGUAGUUGGGUCGGUGACGACCAGCGAAUACCCGGUGUUGUAUGUC